Molecule: ribosomal RNA, 169 nt
Filed under: uncultured bacterium
Lineage: Bacteria
Description: partial 16S ribosomal RNA
Rfam family: Bacterial small subunit ribosomal RNA
Source: RNAcentral
CCUACGGGAGGCAGCAGUGGGGAAUCUUGGUCAAUGGGCGCAAGCCUGAACCAGCGACGCCGCGUGAGUGAUGAAGGCCUUAGGGUUGUAAAGCUCUUUUACCCGGGAUGAUAAUGACAGUACCGGGAGAAUAAGCUCCGGCUAACUCCGUGCCAGCAGCCGCGGUAAU